AGGUAUUGGGACUACUGCUGCCUUCCCAUCCUCAAGGGCCAGUGGGAACUCUAAUAUUGAUUGGUUGUCACAGAAUUCCGUGGACUUUAACCAGUGAUGCGCUGAUUUUGUCAUUUGUACCAGCUAACUCAUCUGGGAGGCAACAAAACAAUAUUCUCCUGAGGUUAAUGUGGACGAAGAACUAGAUUUCAUGUAAAAAGAGUUUAUUCCUUCUAUUUGAGGUGUGACAUGAAGGAAAG
This 239-nucleotide long non-coding RNA is filed under the name Piliocolobus tephrosceles (Ugandan red Colobus). RNAcentral describes it as "lncRNA (ENSPTEG00000038955.1)". The record is from RNAcentral. Lineage: Eukaryota; Metazoa; Chordata; Mammalia; Primates; Cercopithecidae.